AAUCAGAUUUGCACUACAACAGAAUAAAAAUAUUUUCUUCUUCAAGACUGGUUUGUUUCCUCUGGUGAAGAUAAAUUGUCAAGUGCUCCCACCUCUUCGAAGAAGGAAAACAAUGAAUUAGCAGAUGUAAAUACAGGCAAAUCUACUGCAGACUUGUACAUGCAAGACUAGUCCUGAAUGUCACAGGAGAAAGGCCAACAGAAACAGAUCUUCUGUGCUUCUGCUAAAAGUAACUGGAUUUAAAAGGCAUUCACUUACCUUUGAGAUGCAAGGUAUAUCAUGAAAGAGCUCACUGUCGCUUGUCAGCUUUGACACGGAUGCUGCCCAGUGGAAGGGACCCUCGUGGGAGAUGAAUACUUACAGACAAAACCAGUCCGAAUGUUUCUGACAGGGCGGCACAAAGGAUUAAAGACAGAAACAGGAAACCCGCACACCUCUGCAUCUGAAAAGAAACCGCACCAGGGUAAGCUUCAAGUCGCUCGCUGCCUGACUUCUAGCUUGGAUCCGCACAGCAGGUCUUGCAUGAAGGAUGAUAAUGAAGCUCUCCCCAGUGACGAGGCAUGCCUCAGCAUUUUAAUUAUAGCCUGUGAGAUUUCAGUUGUUUAUCUUAUUUGUGCUUAUAGCCAGUGUAUGUAUGAGCAAAACCAAAUUACGAGGCAAAGAUCCCAACGUCAUUUCCCAGUGUCAGGGAAUAUACCCUGCCAAGUCAUAUUUUUUCAGUGGGCAAAUGACCUCUUCAUCUUCACUAGAGUCAGAUGGAAAAGGAAGCCUCUUUGUUUACUCAAGCGUUUAAUCCAUCAUUUGCCCAUUAUACAUUUUGUGUCAAUCUAUCUUUAGAAUUCUAAACCUCGCUGCUU
Long non-coding RNA from Lagopus leucura (white-tailed ptarmigan), 857 nucleotides. RefSeq lists it as uncharacterized. Lineage: Eukaryota; Metazoa; Chordata; Aves; Galliformes; Phasianidae. The record is from RefSeq and is a predicted model, not a curated record. The transcript has 6 exons.